This is a long non-coding RNA of Notolabrus celidotus (New Zealand spotty), 735 nucleotides long. RefSeq lists it as uncharacterized. The transcript has 2 exons. NCBI's taxonomy places the organism in Eukaryota, Metazoa, Chordata, Actinopteri, Labriformes, Labridae. The record is from RefSeq and is a predicted model, not a curated record.
GACUGAUAAAUGACACCCUGAAUGGCUGUAAUAAGGAUUGUGGAUUGAAGAGCUUUGUGUCCUUGAAUCAAGCCUUGGGUAUGCACAAAGACAGAGUGAUGAAUGAAGUGUGUUGAGUGUAAAUUGUCAAUACAGCUGAUUAAAGUUUAAGUGUGUUUGUGUUAAUUUAGCUACUGAGCACAUGGUGUUGGAGUCACCUGCAGCCCGUCAUGCUCCUCCUCGUCCUCCUGGGAUGGGAAGUGUGAGCCUUGCAGCCACCAACCACUGGCAACCAGAUGUGCUAAGGCCUCUCUUUGAAGACCCUGAACAGGAAGAAUGUUGGCCCCUCCCUCCCCUUCUCAUAGUUGAUAAUUGCAUGUCUCACAUUUAGUUGAUAGUCUGUAAUACACAUGACCUCUGUGUCUUUAUGUUGUUUCUAAGAAAAUAUAAUAAAGAGAUGUCUGCCUGUUAGUGAAGUAAGCCCUGCCCCUAAUGUGUAACUCAGUAAUGUUGCUUAAUGUAACCAAACAGUCAACUUCUUGUGUUGUUAAAUGUUGUAAAAUAAAAGUGGCAUGCUGGUUGCCGUGCUGCAUGUUGGCCUCACACUUGGGUUGAACUGUGGUGCUGGUGUGUGUGGAGUUUGCAUCCUGUUCUCUCUGAAUGACCUGCAGUCAGUCUGUGUGUGAAUGUUGGGUCCUAUGAAUGCUUCAUCUUGUAUACUUACAUAUAUGAAGAAGAAUAAACAUAAUAUAAGUU